RNAcentral lists this ribosomal RNA (830 nucleotides) under uncultured bacterium. Its description in RNAcentral is "bacterial SSU rRNA". It matches the Rfam family "Bacterial small subunit ribosomal RNA", at positions 54 to 886 of the family's 1533-position model. The record is from RNAcentral.
CAUGCAGUCGAGCGAAACCCGAGAAGGGGUAACCCUUUUCGGGGGACAGCGGCGAACGGGUGAGUAACACGUGGGCAACGUGCCCCAGACACCGGGAUAACAGCGGGAAACUGCUGCUAAUACCGGAUAAUCCCUGAUCACCGCAUGGUGAACAGGGCAAAGCUCCGACGGUCUGGGAUCGGCCCGCGUCCUAUCAGCUUGUUGGUGGGGUAAUGGCCUACCAAGGCAGUGACGGGUAGCUGGCGUGAGAGCGCGAUCAGCCACACUGGGACUGAGACACGGCCCAGACUCCUACGGGAGGCAGCAGUAGGGAAUCUUGCGCAAUGGGCGAAAGCCUGACGCAGCGACGCCGCGUGAGGGAUGAAGGCCUUCGGGUUGUAAACCUCUUUCAGCAGGGACGAAGCCUCACGGUGACGGUACCUGCAGAAGAAGCCCCGGCCAACUACGUGCCAGCAGCCGCGGUAAUACGUAGGGGGCAAGCGUUGUCCGGAUUUAUUGGGCGUAAAGAGCUCGUAGGCGGCCGUCCACGUCGGAUGUGAAAGCUCGGAGCUCAACUCUGAGAGGCCAUUCGAUACGGGGCGGCUAGAGGCAGGUAGGGGAGAGUGGAACUCCUGGUGUAGCGGUGAAAUGCGCAGAUAUCAGGAAGAACACCGGUGGCGAAGGCGGCUCUCUGGGCCUUGCCUGACGCUGAGGAGCGAAAGCUGGGGGAGCGAACAGGAUUAGAUACCCUGGUAGUCCCAGCCGUAAACGUUGAGUGCUAGUGUGGGGAGGUCUUCAACCCUCUCUGUGCCGCAGCUAACGCAUUAAGCACUCCGCCUGGGGAGUACGGC